Molecule: RNA transcript, 3774 nt
Organism: Synchiropus splendidus (mandarinfish)
Lineage: Eukaryota; Metazoa; Chordata; Actinopteri; Syngnathiformes; Callionymidae
Gene: col13a1
Gene name: collagen, type XIII, alpha 1
Exons: 40
Source: RefSeq, a predicted model, not a curated record
AGGAAUCAGGUCCAUGAAGCUGCAGGAACUCAUGACCAUCCCACUCGCCCGGAGCUGCUGCCUGAAUCCAAGUGUUCCUCUCCAAACUCUGCGGGAUCUCUCAGUGACUGAGUCGCAAAAUGGACAAGUUUGAUAAGGAGGGGAGCAGGACGCAGCCUUCGGAGACAUGUCCGUGGAGAAAGUGGAGGGAUUGGUCGGCAUCCACUCUUUGCGCGGCGUUCACCCUGGUGUGUCUGGGAGUUUGCGCGCUGGUGUUUGUCCGGACGUGGGAGCUGCAGCGCAGGAUCGUCAGCCUGGAGCAACAGGGUCCGUCUGCGUGGCUCUGGUCCGUGGAGCAGGUGGAGCCCGUCAUUCUGAAGAGACUGGACCAGAUCCUGGAGGAGAAAUUGGCAGCUCGAUUACCAAAAUCACGAGAAACCCGGGAGGCCCCUCACAGUUGCCUGUGUCCACCAGGACCUCCAGGUCCACCUGGACGACCAGGCUUUCCGGGUGAUAGAGGAAGUAAUGGGAUUCCAGGAAGAAUGGGCUUAAAGGGACACGCAGGGGACAAGGGCGCACCAGGGGAGCCGGGACUGUCCAUCAUUGGGCCGAGAGGACCUCCUGGACAACCCGGAACAAGAGGAUUCCCUGGUUUUCCUGGUCCAAUCGGGUUGGACGGCAAGCCUGGUCAACAUGGAGUCAAGGGAGACAUGGGUCAGCGUGGUCCUAAAGGAAUCCCGGGUGAACCAGGACCCAAGGGAGAGAAGGGUGUCUGCGGUGACUACACACAUCGGAAGCGGCGUAUUGUACAGCCCUGUGUUGGACAGUUGGCCACACAGGGCGAGCCUGGACUGCAGGGCCCACCUGGACCUCCGGGACCUCCCGGGCUGCCGGGGAAUCCUGGCAUUGUCGGGGCUAGUGGCCCACCGGGCAAACCAGGAGAACCAGGAAAGCCAGGCAAAGACCCAAGACUCAUACCGGGACUGAAGGGAGAGCCAGGAGUGGCCGGACAGAAGGGUGAUCGAGGGGAUGUCGGCCCGUCAGGUGUGGAAGGUCCCAAGGGAGAACCAGGUUUCCCAGGUGUGCCUGGCUUGAAGGGUCAGAGUGGCACCCCAGGCAUACCUGGCAAGAGGGGCUACAGGGGCGAGAAGGGUGAGCCCAGCUUUUCAGCCGUUGGGAUUAAAGGAGAACCCGGUUCACCAGGACUACAAGGCACGACUGGACCCAAGGGUGACAAGGGUGACCAGGGAGGAAAGGGAGAAGAUGGUCCCGAAGGCCCAGCUGGACCAAGGGGACCCCCGGGUCCGACUGGAGAGCCAGGGAAGUCUGAAAUCAACAACAAUGAGAACGACAUUCGCAACAUCCCGCUGAUGGGUCCCCCGGGAUUACCUGGACCACCGGGCCCCCCAGGGCUGACUGGGGCUAAGGGUGAAGUUGGGCUACCAGGUCCUCCAGGAUUAGAUGGAGAUAAGGGACCCAGAGGAAAGACGGGUGAGCCUGGCCCUGCUGGCCCCCCAGGGCCCGAGGGACCCCGAGGACAGGGGGGCAUCAUGGGCUACCCUGGACCCAAGGGAGACAAGGGAGAUCUGGGCCCGUCUGGAGCACCUGGUUUAGAUGGCCCUACUGGUGAAAAGGGGGCCGCAGGGGCCCCUGGUCCAAUUGGAUUACCUGGCACCAUGGGCUCGAAAGGUGAACCGGGAGAAGGAGCGCGGUCAGAAGUGAUCUAUGGGCCUCCUGGGCCACCUGGACCAGUCGGACCUGCAGGAUCACAAGGACCUUCAGGCCCGAAGGGAGAGCCAGGCAUAGGCAUCAGAGGCGAGAAGGGAGCGACGGGUCAGAGAGGUGACAAAGGAGACAGAGGCCAUCUUGGACUUCCUGGUCUGAUGGGACCAGCAGGUGUACCAGGACCAGCAGGACCAAAGGGAGAAAGAGGUGAAAAGGGAGACCCAGGCUUGCCAGGACCAAUCGGCCCUCAAGGAAUCCCAGGUUUAGUAGGACCACAAGGAUUCAAAGGGAACCGGGGAGAGAGGGGCAAGAAAGGCAACAGGGGGGCCAAAGGGGAUAAGGGAGACCAAGGAGCACCUGGAUUAGAUGCCCCCUGCCCGUUGGUAUGUUGGUAGUCUCAUGUGCAGCCCAGAGUCGACAGGAAGAAGCGCUGGUCUGCUUCCUGUUGCCUCUGCUACUCUGUGCUUCUGAUGACCCUCAAGGAAGGUCCGGUUCUGUAGAACAGAACUUUCCGCGAGGAACCUUUUUCCCUACAGGGACCAGUCUGACAGGAACCCAUUUGCCAUCCGGUCACCUUAGUUUGGCCAAAGCAAAUUCUUCCCGCCGGGAGACGUCGGUGGCACAGCCUUAGCUCUGAAGACAUUCGAUGACAAACUGUGACAGUGGUGGUCGUUGGGUUCCUGUCCGGUUGGUGGUCACCCGCAUGACUUGGUGACCGCUGACUUUGAGGAGUGAGAAUUCCUCGUCCUGGACGUGGCGAUGGAGCGCCGCUCGGCAGCGGAGGUCUGGUUCUUAAACCACUGAUUUCACAAACAGGGAUUCCGAGGCUUUAAAGGGGAGAAAGGUGAACCGGGCCUGCCGGGCCUGGAUGGGCUGGAUGCCCCUUGCCCUGUGGGCGACGACGGCCUCCCUGUACCAGGAUGUUGGAACAAAUGACGUUAACUUUGGAAUGGCUUUUGUGAUUGUAUAUAGGAUAUUUAUUUUUGUAAUUUCUCCUUAUUCUGCUACUCAUGGAAGACGAUGAAGAUGUCCUGAAAACACGUUUUGUACAGAUGUUUAUUUUAUGUAUUGUAUUUUUAUAUCGGCGCAUUAAUGGAUACUGAAGAGGAUUAUGAGUCGUGGCAACAUGUGCAUGAUAUUUGUGCAUUAUGUAAACUGAAUAAUGCUGACUAACUUAUUGUACCGUGUCCUGUCUGCGACCAUGCUGCGCUUUUUUUGUGCAGCUGGAAAGUUGAAGCGUUGGCCUCUGCCCCUGUUGCGCUGUCUUGAAUGAACUGACCGAGACCAGACUUGAGCCGCUGAAGGAUUUUUGCUAGACAACAAGAGGCUCCUCCUACUCUGUAAACCUGCUACCGGUGACGCGGUCUAGUUCAACAGAUAGAUAGAUGUCAGCACUAAGCUAAGGGGCACUUUCAGUUUCCUUAAAUUGUUUCUAAAUCUGGCAGUCAUUUCUCCCUAGGAUAAACCUACAGACUGAAAAGGAGCUGAGCUAUAAGAUUUCACUUUAACCUGCCAUCUUGAGGUUGGAAAGUGAAAGUAGAGUCCCUCCUCUGUGGACUGUCAUAGUCCAGAGACUGUUGAUGUUGUUUAUUGAAACAGCGCCCUCUGUAGCCUCCCAUUAAUUGAAUAGGAAACGUGCCUUAACUUUGCCUCCCUCACCAGCUCACUGAUGCUUCACUAAAUGGUAUUGAAAUACAUUUAUUUUACACCUCACCAAGAGGAGAAGUCGUCCAAGAACAAAUCUUAGCGCCGUGCGAAGCAGCUUUUCUGCUUUAACCCUGAACCUCCCGCAAAGGCAGUGCGACACACUUCUGCCUGACGUGGUCCCUGUCAGAUCUCUGUGCGUCGUCUGCCCCGAACUCGGCUCAUGACGCCACCUGACUGGCUGCUGAGAGGAGGGACCGACCGCAGCUUUGCUGAGGAUGAUGCUUUCUGCUCGCCACAGUCGGCGUCUCAGUCGACCUUUAAUAUCGGCAGCUCUGAAUCACCAGUCCAGAUAACCAUGAGCCUUUGUUAUUGUUGUUUGUUAACCACAUGCCAACCCUGAGUAAACAACCUGAAAUCAAACAA